Molecule: non-coding RNA, 567 nt
Organism: Anolis sagrei ordinatus
Lineage: Eukaryota; Metazoa; Chordata; Lepidosauria; Squamata; Anolidae
Source: RefSeq, a predicted model, not a curated record
UUCACCCAGGAUGAAGUGCUCAGUGCAAACGUGGCCCCGGGUCAGAGCACGGCUUUAAUACUUUGGGAAACCUCUUCUGUACCUUUAAGACUACCCUCUCUUUUUCCAAGCAAAAGCUCAGCUCCUUCAAGACCAUCCAAAUCUAUUUUUAGCUGUUCCACCGGGGUCUCUUUCCGAAUGCCAGCGGCCCUUUCAAUUACUACAGCUAGGAUCAAGUCCAAAACUCUCUUCAGGUGCCUUCGAAUGAACUCAGGCUGCCUUCUUCUUUUUCCUCGGAAGGCACUGCACUGAUCCUGGCUGCUCCGGGACUGUUUAACCAACUACAGCAACAUCCACCAUGGACGGGAAAGAGGUUUAUCUCAUCUCCACAUCAGAGCCUUUGACGUCCCCGUGAAAGACCUGCACUUCUCCCAGGAUCAGCCAUCACUUUGCUGCCCAAUGGGGCUGACGGCACAACAUGGAGAAGGUCAGCCCAAAGCAGAGGAUGAUGAAAGGGCCGAGUCUCCCACGGUCAAGGAGAAGAUCUCGGAAGAAACUUUGCAGCAAAAUGGGCCACUGGAGUACUCU